Molecule: ribosomal RNA, 441 nt
Filed under: Blastocystis sp.
Lineage: Eukaryota; Bigyra; Opalinata; Blastocystidae
Description: SSU rRNA
Rfam family: Eukaryotic small subunit ribosomal RNA
Source: RNAcentral
GUCUUGCAUUGGAUUGAGAACAACGUACAACUCUUAUCGAUAAGCCAUUGGAGGGCAAGUCUGGUGCCAGCAGCCGCGGUAAUUCCAGCUCCAAUAGCGUAUAUUAACGUUGUUGCAGUUAAAAAGCUCGUAGUUGAAGUGAGGGAGUGUGUGUUCAUGAGAGCUAGUCUCGAGUGUUCACAACCUCCCCCCUCCAAUCGGUGUAGUGGGGUAUUCAGUUAUUUCACUACUCCUUUGGUCGUUUACUGUGAGAAAAUUAGAGUGUUCAAAGCGGGCGUUUGUUUGAAUAGAUUAGCAUGGAAUAAUGAUUGAAGGCUUUCGUGUUCGAUUUGAUUGGUUUGUUCAUGGAAGCAAGGUUAAAAGGAACAGUUGGGGGUAUUCAUAUUCACUAGUUAGAGGUGAAAUUCUCGGAUUUAUGGAAGAUGAACAAGUGCGAAAGCA